GCCCCAAUCUUCUAAUGGUUAGGAAACGGGAUUCAUAACCCCGCAAUCUGAGUUCGAUUCUCAGUUGGGGCA
Transfer RNA from Capsaspora owczarzaki ATCC 30864, 72 nucleotides. It matches the Rfam family "tRNA". From Rfam's summary of the family: Transfer RNA (tRNA) molecules are approximately 80 nucleotides in length. Their secondary structure includes four short double-helical elements and three loops (D, anti-codon, and T loops). Lineage: Eukaryota; Filasterea; Ministeriida; Capsasporidae. The record is from Rfam.